UACGAAGGGGGCUAGCGUUGUUCGGAAUUACUGGGCUUAAAGCGCACGUAGGCGGACAUUUAAGUCAGGGGUGAAAUCCCAGAGCUCAACUCUGGAACUGCCUUUGAUACUGGGUGUCUUGAGUAUGGAAGAGGUGAGUGGAAUUCCGAGUGUAGAGGUGAAAUUCGUAGAUAUUCGGAGGAACACCAGUGGCGAAGGCGGCUCACUGGUCCAUUACUGACGCUGAGGUACGAAAGCGUGGGGAGCAAACAGG
This 253-nucleotide ribosomal RNA is filed under the name uncultured bacterium. RNAcentral's name for it is "partial 16S ribosomal RNA". It matches the Rfam family "Bacterial small subunit ribosomal RNA", at positions 524 to 776 of the family's 1533-position model. The record is from RNAcentral.